CUUCACCGACCCCAGCAGCAGCGGCGUCUCCCGCCCCUGCCCGUACGUCGCCAACAACGCCUGCGCCUC
Molecule: antisense RNA, 69 nt
Filed under: Micromonospora carbonacea
Lineage: Bacteria; Bacillati; Actinomycetota; Actinomycetes; Micromonosporales; Micromonosporaceae
Description: ASpks TB sRNA
Rfam family: ASpks TB sRNA
Source: Rfam by way of RNAcentral